UGAUGUCAUAAGGGAAGGACUCUGAUCUGGUAGGGUUAGUGCUCUUAUAACACACACCACAGAGAGCUUCCUCUCUCUUUCUCUCUCUCUCACUCUCUCUCUCUCUCCUCUCUCAUUCCCUCUUCACACUUAGGAAAGGCGAUAUGAGCACAUAGCUAGAAGUUGGCCAGGAAGAGAGAUCUCACCAGAAGCUAACCAUGCUGGCAUCCUGAUCUCAGAUUUUCAGCCUUCAGAACUGUGAGAAAAUGAAUUUCUCUUAUUGAAGAAACCCAGUCUGAGUUGUUUUGUUAGGGCAGCCCAAGCAAACUAAAGAUAGUGUGUGCAUGUGGAUGUAACCAGACUCCAAAGGAUUGUAUAACAACAUAGCCUACCUCAUUGACUCAGUACCUGCAAGGAAGCUACCCACCAACCUUCAUAUCCACACCAUACUCCCUCUCACAGUGACUAAUGCAUGACUUUGCACAUGAAGUUACUUGGUCCUCUGGAAAGGAAGCCUGGAGCAAAAGUGAGGCCUCUGAAGAAAAGAGUAACCAGAAAAUGUGGGCCUUUUGUGAUCUUCAAGAGGUAAAUAUCUAUAUGUAUGUAUAUAUAUAUAUAUAUAUAUAUUAUAUAUAUAUAUAUAUUCUUUGUUUCC
Molecule: long non-coding RNA, 634 nt
Filed under: Felis catus (domestic cat)
Lineage: Eukaryota; Metazoa; Chordata; Mammalia; Carnivora; Felidae
Description: lncRNA (ENSFCAG00000045158.2)
Source: RNAcentral